AGCACUAAUUUUAAUAUUGUAUUAUGCAUUUAUAUUAUUUUACAAACAAAUAUAAAUUAACAUAUAUAAAAUAUAUUUUUAAUGCAGUGACAAUUUUGCAUCCUGUUUACGUAUUACGUAUAUGUGUUUACGAUGAUGUCAUCGCGCAGUGAUGUCACAACGUCAUUUAGCAAGAAAUCAACCUUCCUUUAGCAACUUUCUCUGAAAAUGAGUUUGCAGCAUUGGGACAGAUGGCUGUUUCUGCUGGUGUCUGCUGCGGACGGCCCUGAUUCUGAGCAGUAGUUGUUGUUUUCUGUGUUUUGCAGCUACGGUCGCAUGUACGCAGCAGAUCCGUACGCGGCGGCGCUAGCGGCUUCUCCGGCGGCGGCGGCAGCAGCGUAUGGAGUCGGUGCGAUGGCCACUCUCUACAGAGGAGGAUACAGCCGGUCUCGCCAUAUUAACACACUUCCAGAUCUGCUGUCUCUCUGAACUCCACCAACAGCUGCUGACCUCGGAGGGAAAAAUCCAAUCACACUCUUGGACACACA
Long non-coding RNA from Cyprinus carpio (common carp), 527 nucleotides. RefSeq lists it as uncharacterized. The transcript has 2 exons. NCBI's taxonomy places the organism in Eukaryota, Metazoa, Chordata, Actinopteri, Cypriniformes, Cyprinidae. The record is from RefSeq and is a predicted model, not a curated record.